CUAGUGGAAAAAGGAUAUUGUGAAAAUGAAAUGAGUCAUCGGCCAUGAAUUCAGGGCUGUCCAAUAUUUACGUACUAUGUGAGCGAGCCCUACACCAUGAGCCAAGUGUGAUAAACAACAUGGGACCCCUUCAGGGCACCGCGGAAGGGGAAAGGGACCAUCCAGCUGGUCUUCACAGACAUAUCAGCUGGCCUAUGAGAAGAGGUUUGUGUGGGGACUCAAGGGGACAGCAUGGCGAGUGGUCAGUGCCUAUCUGGCCACUGGAAGAGGAUCCACAGGAGGCUUCCUGAAGGAGGCUGGGGCUGUGCAGAGGGCUCUCUGAACACUGAACAUGCCCGCAGAAGAAAAGGCUUUUUUCUUGGCUUCUUCAAAGAAGAUGCGCAGCUCCCUCCAGCCUCUGGAGAAUCAGCGAGGGAACAGUCUGUCUCGAAAUGCCAUUAAAACAUCUCUCAAAUUAAAACCA
Molecule: long non-coding RNA, 463 nt
Organism: Cavia porcellus (domestic guinea pig)
Lineage: Eukaryota; Metazoa; Chordata; Mammalia; Rodentia; Caviidae
Exons: 2
Source: RefSeq, a predicted model, not a curated record